CUAGGGGCGAGCGUAUACAUGCAAGUCGAGCGAACAGAUGAGGAGCUUGCUCCUUUGACGUUAGCGGCGGACGGGUGAGUAACACGUGGAUAACCUACCUAUAAGACUGGGAUAACUUCGGGAAACCGGAGCUAAUACCGGAUAACAUAUUGAACCGCAUGGUUCAAUAGUGAAAGGCGGCUUUGCUGUCACUUAUAGAUGGAUCCGCGCCGUAUUAGCUAGUUGGUAAGGUAACGGCUUACCAAGGCAACGAUACGUAGCCAACCUGAGAGGGUGAUCGGCCACACUGGAACUGAAACACGGUCCAAACUCCUACGGGAGGCAGCAGUAGGGAAUCUUCCGCAAUGGGCGAAAGCCUGACGGAGCAACGCCGCGUGAGUGAUGAAGGUCUUCGGAUCGUAAAACUCUGUUAUCAGGGAAAAACAAAUGUGUAAGUAACUGUGCACAUCUUGACGGUACCUGAUCAGAAAGCCACGGCUAACUACGUGCCAGCAGCCGCGGUAAUACGUAGGUGGCAAGCGUUAUCCGGAAUUAUUGGGCGUAAAGCGCGCGUAGGCGGUUUUUUAAGUCUGAUGUGAAAGCCCACGGCUCAACCGUGGA
RNAcentral lists this ribosomal RNA (600 nucleotides) under Staphylococcus warneri. RNAcentral's name for it is "bacterial SSU rRNA". It matches the Rfam family "Bacterial small subunit ribosomal RNA", at positions 36 to 619 of the family's 1533-position model. Lineage: Bacteria; Bacillati; Bacillota; Bacilli; Caryophanales; Staphylococcaceae. The record is from RNAcentral.